CAGUCGCCGCGGGAAUACGAAGGGUGCAAGCGUUAAUCGGAAUUACUGGGCGUAAAGUGUGCGUAGGCGGUGAGUUAAGUCUGCUGUGAAAUCCCCGGGCUCAACCUGGGAAUGGCAGUGGAUACUGGCUCGCUAGAGUGUGUCAGAGGAUGGUGGAAUUCCCGGUGUAGCGGUGAAAUGCGUAGAGAUCGGGAGGAACAUCAGUGGCGAAGGCGGCCAUCUGGGACAACACUGACGCUGAGGCACGAAAGCGUGGGGAGCAAACAGGAUUAGAUACCCCAGUAGUCCCUGUCUCUUAUAC
RNAcentral lists this ribosomal RNA (301 nucleotides) under uncultured bacterium. Its description in RNAcentral is "partial 16S ribosomal RNA". It matches the Rfam family "Bacterial small subunit ribosomal RNA", at positions 509 to 807 of the family's 1533-position model. The record is from RNAcentral.